Molecule: ribosomal RNA, 484 nt
Filed under: uncultured bacterium
Lineage: Bacteria
Description: partial 16S ribosomal RNA
Rfam family: Bacterial small subunit ribosomal RNA
Source: RNAcentral
AUUGAACGCUGGCGGCAGGCCUAACACAUGCAAGUCGAGCGGAUGAAGGGAGCUUGCUCCUGGAUUCAGCGGCGGACGGGUGAGUAAUGCCUAGGAAUCUGCCUGGUAGUGGGGGCUAACGUCCGGACACGGGCGCUAAUACCGCAUACGUCCUGAGGGAGAAAGUGGGGGAUCUUCGGACCUCACGCUAUCAGAUGAGCCUAGGUCGGAUUAGCUAGUUGGUGGGGUAAGGGCCUACCAAGGCGACGAUCCGUAACUGGUCUGAGAGGAUGAUCAGUCACACUGGAACUGAGACACGGUCCAGACUCCUACGGGAGGCAGCAGUGGGGAAUAUUGGACAAUGGGCGAAAGCCUGAUCCAGCCAUGCCGCGUGUGUGAAGAAGGUCUUCGGAUUGUAAAGCACUUUAAGUUGGGAAGAAGGGCAGUAAGUUAAUACCUUGCUGUUUUGACGUUACCAACAGAAUAAGCACCGGCUAACUUCGUG